RNAcentral lists this long non-coding RNA (2366 nucleotides) under Octopus vulgaris (common octopus). Lineage: Eukaryota; Metazoa; Mollusca; Cephalopoda; Octopoda; Octopodidae. The record is from RNAcentral.
CACACACACACACACAAACAUCCAUCCAUAUACACACCUGUCUGUCUAUCUAUAUAAUCUAUUUCCUGAAUACAGGCAACCACUUCCUGAAAUAUUUUCCUUUCUUUGAUUCUGACCUAUUCACUUCCAACCCGAAGAACCAUUAUAUCAGACAAGAAACAAUAAUAACAGUGGGGAGUUUAAAAUAAAAUGGUUUCAUUGAUUUGAAAAUUUCGACUGGCUAAAAAGGCUUGCAGAGAUUGCAACAAAGUCGCAAUCAGAUUCUAUGGGAAUGAAUACCGAUUAAUUUAAUACCAACUGGCAAAUUUGAGAGGUACAGGAAAUACCCACCCACACACACCAAUAUAAAAAAAAAAAUCAUAGUUGAAUCGCAUGCUGAAUAGUGUAUCAAAUAGCAACACAAUAAAAUGCUAACUACAGGCAGCAUGUGUCCUUGCAACUAGAGUGUGAUGAAAGACGGAGUGCCAAGGAAAACACCUGAGGUCCUUUGGAAUACCACUGAGAAUUACGUCUAGCCUCAAGAUCGUCUGGCAAUUAGGAAGUUACACUGAAUGGUGAGCGGAAGACUGACACAAAAAUACCAAAAAUGUUCCUGUAACGGCUUCAAAAAUGCGGACAAAUUUAUAAUGGAACUGAUUUCAGGUUUGCGACUAUAAAUAUAAUGUCUAAGAAUUCCCAGUUGGUUGGACAAAUAUUUUCGUUCGUUCAGAGGAAAAAGUAUGAUAGCAACAAAGGUAGUGGAAUAUAUCAAUAAUGGAAUGCAUUAAUAAUAAUAAUUUUAAAAAAAUGAUGGAAUUAGCAGAAUGUAUUCUUUGAUAAUGUUGUCUAUUUUUUCAUGUCGUGGUCGUUACUCACGACUAAAGGAUUAUGUUAAUAUAUAAAUCAUUAAACUAAAUACAAGAUAAUGUUCAGUUUAUUAGUUAAUUCCCAAGGAGGUACCACCACACAUUGACACAACACACGCGUCUGUAUGUGUAUAAGAUGUUUUGGAAUGUAUAAUAAUAUACAAAGAUUUUUACGUACACACACACACAUCUUAGAUAAACAUACAUUAUAGCAUUGGCAUUAUAGAAAAUCCAAAAUUGCCUAAUAACACAUGAUAUGUGUUUGGUAAAAACUUAAGGAAUGUAUUAUUUAUUCCUCCUACUGCAGUACAAACACAGUAAAUAAAUAAAGAGAAAUUUAUAAUUCAAAGCACACACCGGGACAUUAAUAUAAACAGCAAGUAAAGUGUUAUAUAUAUUUAUAUUGUAUACAAACGGACACUGUGACAUAUUUUUAUAUGUAUAGAGGUGAAUAAGCGGAAUAAAAUUACAACCACACACACAUACUGAAGAAUGGUGUAGAUAAACAUUAUAAGAAAAUAGGCUGUAAGAAUGAAAAAAAUAUACAUUUAUAGAUUUAUAAUUUUAAAAUGAAAAGAAAGAAAAAGAGAAAAAUUUAGAGCUUCACUCACAUGCCAAUAGAGAGGGAAAGAUGAAAUGAAUGAGUGAGAGAAAAAAAACUGAAGAAGUUGAGAUAAAAGAUAAAAAUUUAUAUGUAUGUAUGUAUAGAGAAAGAGAGGGAGAGAAAGAAAGAAAGAAGGAGAAAUUGAAGUAAAAUUUAAUUAACUAGAUCCAAAAGACAAGUCAACAACCCAUAGCUGUCAUAUUUUGGGUGUGUAAUAAAAUUUUUCUACUUUUUAGUCCGGGGUGGUCUCCGUUCAAAGAGAAAGUCGAAUUUUUAUAUUAUUCUGUUAACCUCCAGCAAAAGAGGACGACACCAAAAUAAACUCUUUUAUAACAUAUAUAGAUAUAAAUAUAUGCACUCGCACCCAUAUACAUAACAUACACAUAUUGUAAUCUAUGUUAGUGGGAACCAAUUUAAAAGAUCCGUCUGUUAAUUUUGCACCGGGACCGGAUCUUCCUCUUGACAGCAACUUGUGAUUAGUUCUAAGAAAAUUAGUUUUGUUGUCAUCGUGAUCGUGGUAGUGGUGGUUGUCGCUUAGACCAGCUUUUUUUGUUACCAUCAUUAUUACCGGUACCAGCCGCCCUGGAUACGCCGCCGAACAUGCCCUCCGAUCGCCGUAGAGCUUCACUUCAGGUCCAUUCUCAGCGGAGUGAGCCAUGUACCCCGACUGACGGUGGCUGGGCAGGAGGAGGUGGACUGGGUGGACUCUGGAACAAUCGUACUUCUCGCCAACGUACCCAGGUAAGAUAAAACUUAUAUUGACUGUCUUACUUCUUGCGUCCCAUUCUCUUUAUCAAGGUUUUCGUCAUUCAUGACGACAAGCAUUCGCUGUACAAGAUGAAAAUUUCACCUUCUUGUUUAAUCUUCUUCAUUAUUUUAUUUUAUCCCUUUCCCGCCUAUGAUAUUGUCUUUUAGCU